CUUCAGGGUAGGGUGUAAUUCCCAACCGGCGGUAAACCCCGCGAGCCUAAAGGCAUGAACCGAGUGAAAUUCCGGUGGCGACAGUAUAGUCUGGAUGAAAGAAG
This 104-nucleotide non-coding RNA is filed under the name Amedibacterium intestinale. Its description in RNAcentral is "FMN riboswitch (RFN element)". It matches the Rfam family "FMN riboswitch aptamer (RFN element)". From Rfam's summary of the family: The RFN element is a highly conserved domain that is found frequently in the 5'-untranslated regions of prokaryotic mRNAs that encode for flavin mononucleotide (FMN) biosynthesis and transport proteins. This element is a metabolite-dependent riboswitch that directly binds FMN in the absence of proteins. Lineage: Bacteria; Bacillati; Bacillota; Erysipelotrichia; Erysipelotrichales; Erysipelotrichaceae. The record is from RNAcentral.